Molecule: transfer RNA, 73 nt
Filed under: Kutzneria viridogrisea
Lineage: Bacteria; Bacillati; Actinomycetota; Actinomycetes; Pseudonocardiales; Pseudonocardiaceae
Also listed under: 1 other name
Description: tRNA-Lys
Rfam family: tRNA
About the family: Transfer RNA (tRNA) molecules are approximately 80 nucleotides in length.
Source: RNAcentral
GCGCCGCUAGCUCAACUGGCAGAGCAGCUGACUCUUAAUCAGCGGGUUCGGGGUUCGAGUCCCUGGCGGCGUA